GCUGGCGGCAUGCCUAACACAUGCAAGUCGAACGAACCCUUCGGGGUGAGUGGCGCCCGGGUGCGUAACGCGUGGGAACCUGCCUUUAGGUUCGGAAUAACAGUUAGAAAUGACUGCUAAUACCGGNUAAUGUCUUCGGACCAAAGAUUUAUCGCCUUUAGAUGGGCCCGCGUUAGAUUAGAUAGUUGGUGGGGUAAUGGCCUACCAAGUCGACGAUCUAUAGCUGGUCUGAGAGGAUGAUCAGCCACACUGGGACUGAGACACGGCCCAGACUCCUACGGGAGGCAGCAGUGGGGAAUAUUGGACAAUGGGCGAAAGCCUGAUCCAGCAAUGCCGCGUGAGUGAUGAAGGCCUUAGGGUUGUAAAGCUCUUUUACCAGGGAUGAUAAUGACAGUACCUGGAGAAUAAGCUCCGGCUAACUCCGUGCCAGCAGCCGCGGUAAUAC
RNAcentral lists this ribosomal RNA (445 nucleotides) under uncultured marine bacterium. RNAcentral's name for it is "bacterial SSU rRNA". It matches the Rfam family "Bacterial small subunit ribosomal RNA", at positions 35 to 526 of the family's 1533-position model. The record is from RNAcentral.